RNA transcript from Dunckerocampus dactyliophorus (ringed pipefish), 7810 nucleotides. It is a transcript of the gene named outer dynein arm docking complex subunit 1, with no coding region annotated. NCBI's taxonomy places the organism in Eukaryota, Metazoa, Chordata, Actinopteri, Syngnathiformes, Syngnathidae. The transcript is spliced from 17 exons. The record is from RefSeq and is a predicted model, not a curated record.
AAUGUUUAACAUACCACAGCGGUUGUUGUGCAACGCAUGCUGGGAAAUGUGUUUUUUCUAAACCACUUAGCGACCGUUGCUAUCAACUCAAGUUGCAGCACAAGUCCAACCGAGAGACGAGGUUUUACUUUCUAUGCGAGUGCAGUGUAAACAUGCCCAAGGGAAGAUUAUCCAAAAGUGCCCAUUCAGAUAGCAGUGAUGUAGAUACUGAUGGCACAGAAUUAGAGAAAGCCAAGCUGUUGAGACAGUACAGGAUCAUGGAUGGGGACCGGCAGGCCUACAGCAUUCAGGUUCGCCAGCAGAUGCAUAAACAAAUACAAGAGAUUGGGAACCUGAGAGCGGAGCAGGAGGAGCUGCAGCGUAAACUGGGUGCUUGUAAGAGCUUGUCCCGUCAAAAGAAAGACAAGAAGGAUGCAGCCUGCCUUCAUGCACUGAUGGAGCAGAGAGACUCGCUGGAAGUGGAGGUGGAGAAAGAAGUGCAGCAGCAAAAAGAGAUAGAGAAAGAGAUCUCACGCGUGGAGGUGAAGCUGAAAGAACUGAGAAAAGGCCAGGUCCACACAAGUGACACUCAAAGGUCUGCAGCAAGGCAGAAUCAGAAGGCCAUAAGAACGCUGGAAAACAAACUGGAAGGCGCCUUGACCCGAUUCAACGAACAAUUGACUAAGAACAGCCACCUCAGAGAGGAUCUGCAGACUCUUCACAUUGAGCGAGUGCGAUUCCAGCGGCUACACGACAGGCUGGUCCAGGAGAUCCAAGAGGUCCGGAAGAAGAUCGUGGAAGUAAUCACCGUGUCUACCGCAGCGCAUGAUGCAAGGGUGGAGGCUCAGUCCAAGUUGGCGAUGAUGAGAGAGAAGGCUGACAAGGAGCUUUCCCACUAUAACACUGAAAUGAGGGAGCUUGAAAGGGUUAUUUCCCAUGAGUGUGGCCUCAAAGACUUCAUCACCACCAAAUACAGCGAGAAAAGCCAGGAUGAUGAGCAGGAGGAGGCAGGACCUAGAAAAUUGUCAGGUGUAAAGGAGCAGGGGACGACACACUCUGCUGAGGAGUCUAAGGAUGAUUUGGAGGCGUUUUUUGAGAGGAUUCGAUCUGUGACAGGAGAGGACGAACUGGACUUGCUGGUCACCAGGUUCAUCCAGGCUGAAGACCGUAACUUUGCCCUCUUCAACUUCGUAAAUGAGCAAAACAAUGAGGCCGAGGUGCUUCGGGAUCAAAUCAGCCAGAUCCAAGAGGAAAUGGAGCGCUUUCGACUGAGAGGUUUGCAACAGGAGGAGGAUCAUCAUGCUUUGCUGAGAGACAUAGAUGUUCAACUGAAGGAAGCCCAAGUGCAAGCUCAGGACUAUGAAAACCGAGCUGACAUCUUAAGCAAAGUUCUGGAGGCGAUUAAAACAGGAGUGAGCAGCAUCUUCUCUAAAGUGGCGUCCGAUGUCUCAGCGAUGGAGGACUCCAUUAGUGAUACCAACAUGAUGUCCUACUUGGGUGUGGUGGAGCAAAAGACCAACAAGCUCCUCACCAUACAAGCCUUCCUCGAUAACAAGGAUGUCGGAAAGGAGUACAACCCAUCCGAUCUGCCCAAGUUCCUUUUUGGGCAAACCCCUGAGAUGCUCCAGGAGAACCUCCAACCUGCAGUCCAGAGUGUGGAAUAUGACGCAGACAACCUGCCUUUCACAGAUGAGGAAGAGCGUCCACUCUCACAGGGGGAACUCCGCAGAAGAAUACUGGAAGGGGUUGUGCAAAGAGAGAGUCAGAUGGCAACAAAAAGCUCCAAAACGAGCCCACGUGUUCUGGAGGACACCCACUGAUGCAAUCUGAGCGAUCCAAACAAAAACAAUGGGAAUCUAGGAAACUUCACCUGCACUGUCCAGUAUCCAGUAUGUCCCCAGUGUGCGUCUCCCUUGCCGUGGUAGCUUUGGUUGCUGUGCAGAUGGCUCUUUGUUGGUGCUUCACAAUGGAUCUGAGGUCAGUGUGCCUCAUGCCAUCAGCACACUAAAGUUCUCCUCUGCAGCUGCCUCUUGCUACUUGUACUUGUUGUUAAUUGCUCCGAGCAGCACAGCAAAGGCAUAUUUGCACUUACGGUAGUAUUAUAUGAAGUGAGUGUUAUAAAUGCACCUAUGUAGUUUAAAGGUAGCCUGAACCUUGCGCACAAUAGCGUGUGAAAGUGUUUUCCUUUUUCCUCUUUCACACAGGGAUCCCAGAAAAUAGCCGCAUUGGAGGCAUAAUACUGUAGCCUAUCUGGCAUUUAUGUGCUUGUGCUUUUCACAUAGAACCCAGCUAAGGCAGAGUGUAUUGGCACAACUGUGUGUGCCAGCCUCCAGUGUGACCUAUAAAUACAGUACUUGUCAGCAACUGUGUUCAAUACAACGAGGCGGGAGAAGGUUGUGAACUUCACAACCCGUUUCCGUUUUUCCUUUAUUCCCUUUACACCCCUGUGACAGCUCUGGUCCGAGGUGGAAAAUUGCCAGGUGGACUUCAUCCUCAUUUCCAGUUGGCGCUCUUCAUAUCAGAACAGCAAUGGUGAAAAUAAUACAACGGUACCUUUGUCAGCAGAAAAUUGCCAGAUCAACUUGUCUGUGCAGUUUACACAGAACAACACACAGAAAAAGGGAGCACAAAUGCCGGCUAUUAUAAGCAGUAAUUGUAACAAUGGCUAAAUGUCACACCCCUGUCCCAGUACUCCCUUUACACACAGGUACAGUCCUCCCUGCAGAGGUAGAAAAUAUAUGGACUAACUCAGUUGUUGCUGUUUAUACAAAACAAAAACAUGAAAAAAACUUCUAGCUUUCACAGGCAGUGUCAAAGGGACUGAACUUCAGACUUUUGACUUCCAAUGCUCCCUUUAAACACAGGCGCCGUUCCGCCUCUGUCACUGCUCUGAUGCUACCUUAAAAGACAGAAAAUUUCUGGAUCAGUUUGGUCUGUGCUGUUUCACAGAGCAGUGGCACAACAAGAAAGCCUGAAAAAUACCAGCUUACAGGCAAUGCAUGUGAAAUGGUCUAAACAUCUCACCACCGUCUUGGCCUUUCAGCUAUUCCCUUUACACAUACCUGUAGGUGCUGUCCCACCCCUGUUACGGCUCUGAUACUACAUUAUUCAGAACAGACACACCGAAAAAUGUCUGCUUUAACAGAAAGAAAGAGACUAAAGAGACUAAACCCCACACCCCUGUCCCAGCUUUCCUUCGUUGUACCACCUUGGAAGACAGAACAUUUCCUGGUUGACUCUGUUGAUAACAUUUAUGCAGAACAAAAACUUGAAAAAAGGCCGGCUUUUACAACAUUGUCCCAUAUAAGUAUAAAUACCAUAUAAGCUAAUAAUGUCAGCAUGACUGCUGUGAAAACAGUCAUUAAAAACCACACAGCUUGUGAUAAUUUAAGACUUCUGCCCAGAAUUGUAAAUUAUACUGUGUUCUCCAUUCUUGAUUUCUUCGGGAUUUUGUACUGUAGCCGUGCUUUGGUGCAUGUGGUGUCUUUGUAAAACCAACCCGACACCAGCCAGAGAAACACAAAUGCAAAUUUACCAUCUGCUGUGUGGUGCAAACAAAUGCUUGUUCAUCACUUAUGUCAUAGUCGAACCUCUUUAAUUAUUCACAGCAUAACAGGAUAUGCUAUAUACAGUAUUUGUUUAAGAUUGAAAACAAAGCCAGGUCUCGACUGAAGAAUGAGUUCCAACAUGGUGGCACAAGCAGAGCCAGGCCAUGAGGUCUGCAGCAGGAAGCAGGUAGAGCAAAAGGCGGGAAAGUAGGAACAAGAAGGAGGAGGAGCGCUUCUCGCAAAAGCUCUCGGAAUGACUGGAAAUUUCCACUUUCUCUUUGCAAGUCAGUGGCUGGAGGGGUGGGUGGAGCUUAGAGGUGAAAUUAAAUAAGGUGGUUGUAGCCAAGCACAAGGGAGGAAGACAUUUGUGAAACAUUAUUGUUAGCUUCAAUUUACUGUAAGCAACCUUAUUUACUAAAACAAAACUACUUCCUAGUGACUUUUGUGGACAAUGCAGGAAGGCAUGUGUGACCAUUUCAUUUUAUUUCAGUUUCUACAAUGUAACAAAAGCCACAAACAGAGACUAUUUGCCCCAGCAAUAUAGUUGCAUGUCCUGAGUGUAGAGUCACCACAGCUCCUUUGUCAUUCCAAAGGGAUCUGAUUAAACAACCGCACUAUUGUUGAUGCAUUUUACUCUGCUAAUUGCUAACUAGUCAAAAGCCAGAGGCCACAAGCAUAAACCAAAAUAAAUAAAGUAGCAGUGCUGUUUUUCACAAAAGGGCAAAGAGGCAAUUGAAAUCUUUUGAAGUGGAUAGCAAACACGCCUUAAAUCUUCUUGGACCACUUCCAAACACACUCUAGCAUUUUGCAAAUCCUCAAAGCACUAAUCCGUUUUACGCAUUAAAAAAGACAAGUCAACCACAACUGUCCAACAAGAUCCACCAGCCUUGGGAAUGUCAUUGCCGUAAUCAUUUCACCAUCUCUCUGCAAGUUCCAAACAAGACAUGGUUGACAGAAAUAAAGGUGUAUAACACACUUUUAUUUUUAUUUUAUUUAAAUGCAAGUUUUGGAAAAUGCAAAAGUACUCACCCUUGGAAGACGCACGACAUAAAACAACAAUAAAGUCAGAAUAUUCACCCUUGAAAGAUGCACAACAUAAAACUACAUAAGAUCAAAUGUUUGAAGGGGUAUGCGAAUAUAAAAAGUUUGGGAACCACUGUCCAAGCCCCCUUCAGUGUCAGUGCUGUUCAUACAGAACAUGGGAAAAAAGCCAACUUUUGUGGGCUGUGGGAAAGGGGCUCGGACCUGAUAUCAAAAGGGAAUGGCUGUAAUUCCUGAAUAGCAAAUGCCAUAUUUUUGUGAAAGGUCUUAAAUUAAAGCUGAAAGAGUUUAAUCACCUUUAAUGGUUUUAUUUAGACCUAACUGUAGAUUUUUUAAAUCAUAAUUAAUGUUCAAUCUUGUCUUAAACCAAUACUGUAUUUGCACCAAUGAAAGCAGUUUAUUUAUACAAUGCCUCCUGAUGGUUGUCCCUGUAAUCAUUUCCAAACUUUUCUGCAUGAUGACAUUCAGUGGUGUUAAUUCCAGAUUGAUCCAUCAAGGCGUCGCUCUUCUUUCUCCAGUGAGAAAGUCAACUUUAUGUUGGCCCACUGUGCGCUGCGGGACUCGCCUGACAAGCACAGAAAAGCCCGCCGGACCAUGUGGGACUCCUGCUGUUAGAAACAAAAGAGCUCAGAUUGCGACCACCAAUUCCUCCAAUUAUCGGGACCCCCUCCCCCCUUCCCAAACCCCCAACCCUAAUCCUGACCCUUGCUCUUUGAAGCACUUUACUCUGAGCACUGACAUUCCACAAGUCAUGUCUUUGGGCCUUUGUCCUCACAGAAUGAGGUGAAACGAAGGUGUUUUUUAACCUACUUGCCAUCCUGUAUCAUGUCACUGCAGAAGAGAACAGUCGGGGUCUUGGAAAAGACAUUUCCACAUGUUACUUUUUUAAUUUAAUUCAGAAACAUAGAGGAGCUUGUCUUUUGUGAAUGAUUCCUUUCGCUGGUGCCAUGUUGUUUUUUUUCCAUUUGGGAAAAUGUGGGGCCCUGUUGCAUCUCUUUUUCUUUGGCUACCCUACUGUUUGGCUUUUACCUGCACACAGCACACAGGCUGUCCUUUUAGCUGCAGAAACACGGAUGGAAAGAUGUGCUAGGCAAAUGAGGAAGGAGAGGAAAUUAUCUCACAAUCUGCCCGCCUCAUUCUCAUGCACGCGCCCACUUUCCACUCACAAAAAGGGACUGAGUAAUGCCUUCUGCCAUCCGUGAGUUAUUCCCAAACGUCAUUAGAUGCAAUGCAAUCUCUCGCAGUUAUUUUGUGUCUAGUAACAGCAGACUCAAUAGGCCCCAAGAACCUAGCAGUACAACCUGCCAGGGCGCAGGCAAACAAGCCUUUGAACUCUGCGUGUAAUUACUCUUCAUAAUUAUAUUUCUUAAGUGCGAGGUGAGUCAUUAAAUGGGCUUAUAGGGCCCCGAGGCUUCCUUGAAAUCGGUGGCUUGGCAGGGAGGAGAUAAGACCGGGAUGGUUAGCUCCCAGGAGAGGUGCUAAAAUUAGAGGCUGGUGACAAAGAAAAAACAGUUGGAAUAAUAAUGUCUUUAGGUAUUACAAUCUAAAAUACUGUUUGUUUUGUAACACCAGGAAAUAAACUGAGGCAUUCACUUUCACUGAUAAACUAGCUGUUCUGCUUUGUAACUGAAAGUGAUAUGCGGGCUCUACCAAGAAAAAACGACCGGGGGAAGAGCGCAAGGCCCGCCAGCGCUUGUAGUCACUUCCUUUGGUUUAACAGUUGGAUGAACGGGUUGAAGAUGAAAGGAAGUGAACUUCAGGAACCACUAAGUGAGAAAAAAAAUAAAACAGGUUUGGGAUAUAAGGAUUACUCAUUAAUAGGGUGAAUAAUUACAGUAUGUGGAUGUUGAAUCACAUAAACACACACAAAGCUAGUUUGUUCAUGCAUGAGUGCAUGUUGCAGACAUUUUUUUACCUGUUUUCUGCUGAACUGGCUAGAUAAGAAUCUUAUAAAAAAAAGAGCAUGGACGUAAAUGAAGAACUCAUACUCCAAAAGUACAGUCUAACAAUGUUAUAUGCUGCACUUUUAUGAGUAUUUGCUCUAUUUUUAUGUGUUCAGCUUUGAGGCCGCAUGAUUGACUCACAGUCAGGGGGAUCUCUUGUGUGGAGUUUGCAUGUUCACCUGUGUACUUUGAUGUGUUUUCUUCCUCCCACAUCCCCAAAACAUGCAUAGUAGGCUAAUCGGAGACUAAAUUGUCCAUAGGUGUGAAUGGUUGCUUGUCUAAUGUGUCCUGUGAUUAGCUGGCUACCUCUCGCCCCCAAAAGUCAGCUAGGAAAGGCUCAAACUCAUCUGUGAACCGAAUGAGGACAAGCAGUAUAGAAAAAUUAAUCAGUGUUUUACAUUACAUUAAACACAACAAUAACAUAAACACAGACAGAAAGCAUAGUCUCUAUGAAUGCAUGUUGCUAGUCUCUAAUUGUAUUUUGUACAUUGCCCAUGCAAAAACAACUUUAAAAUCUAAAAAUACUGAGCAUGAAGUAACUGCAUACAUACUCAAUAACCCCUAAUAAUGUUACAUGCUGCACUUUAGGUAAUAUUCUGCAACGUUUUUUGUUGCCAGUGUGUAGAAACUGGUUUCAUGGAGAGCAGUUAAAUUUAGAAAGGAAGGAGUAGCCAGCCAGGAGCAUGGUUUUCACAUCUUGACAUAAUUCCUCCCUAACUGUAAUUUGACACCACCAAGCUCGACAAAGAAAGAGUUGUAAAAAAGAUGACCAAAAAAACUCAACAUGGACUCAUGUUUUAAUACUUUUUGCUGUCUUUGUAAGACAUUAUUGAGCCGUCUUGUAUGUUCUAUAAAUAGAUGACAACUUUAACAACUUGUAUCCAUUGUUUAAAUUAAACCAUAAGAAAGACAAAAAAUGUCAUUGUAAAGCAGCACUUUAAAACGACUCACCAAUGAACUACCAGAACGCAUGGGAGGUGGGUGUUUUUGCUAGGACUGACAUUGCUUUCCUCCAAUCACAUACAGCCAUUGUCACUACUGUCCAAUCAGCUACCGAGCUGAGCCUCUGCCUCCAAGUUGAGUCUCUUUCAAGCGGCUCCACAGAAAAAGACGGGCAGACAUCAUUUCUCUCUCGGCGUUAUUGGACUAGUAUCCUUACUACGACGACGACAAAGAAGAGACAAACAUAUUUACAAUUUUCCCCAUUGAAUAGGAAUAAAAUCAUCACCUUUCCCUUUAGCCAUGGCCGACACAGCUGUUGUAGACACGACCGCCACUGCAGAGGUUACAGCCAAGGUG